This 68-nucleotide transfer RNA is filed under the name Arge similis. RNAcentral describes it as "tRNA-Tyr". The record is from RNAcentral. Lineage: Eukaryota; Metazoa; Arthropoda; Insecta; Hymenoptera; Argidae.
AAUUAAAUGGCUGAAUAUAGGCGAUAAAUUGUAAAUUUAUUUAUGAAAUAUUUAAAUUUCUUUAAUUA